AACGAACGCUGGCGGCAUGCCUAACACAUGCAAGUCGAACGAGACCUUCGGGUCUAGUGGCGCACGGGUGCGUAACGAGUGGGAACCUGCCCUUAGGUUCGGAAUAACUCCCCGAAAGGGGUGCUAAUACCGGAUAAUGUCUUCGGACCAAAGAUUUAUCGCCUUUGGAUGGGCCCGCGUUGGAUUAGCUAGUUGGUAGGGUAAAAGCCUACCAAGGCGACGAUCCAUAGCUGGUCUGAGAGGAUGAUCAGCCACACUGGGACUGAGACACGGCCCAGACUCCUACGGGAGGCAGCAGUGGGGAAUAUUGGACAAUGGGCGAAAGCCUGAUCCAGAAAUGCCGCGUGAGUGAUGAGGGCCUUAGGGUUGUAAAGCUCUUUUACCCGGGAUGAUAAUGACAGUACCGGGAGAAUAAGCUCCGGCUAACUCCGUG
RNAcentral lists this ribosomal RNA (433 nucleotides) under uncultured bacterium. RNAcentral describes it as "partial 16S ribosomal RNA". It matches the Rfam family "Bacterial small subunit ribosomal RNA", at positions 29 to 507 of the family's 1533-position model. The record is from RNAcentral.